GAUCCUGGCUCAGGAUAAACGCUGGCGGCGUGCUUAACACAUGCAAGUCGAGCGAAGCGCUUAAGUUUGAUUCUUCGGAUGAAGACUUUUGUGACUGAGCGGCGGACGGGUGAGUAACGCGUGGGUAACCUGCCUCAUACAGGGGGAUAACAGUUAGAAAUGACUGCUAAUACCGCAUAAGACCACGGUACCGCAUGGUACAGUGGUAAAAACUCCGGUGGUAUGAGAUGGACCCGCGUCUGAUUAGGG
RNAcentral lists this ribosomal RNA (249 nucleotides) under uncultured bacterium. Its description in RNAcentral is "partial 16S ribosomal RNA". It matches the Rfam family "Bacterial small subunit ribosomal RNA", at positions 15 to 246 of the family's 1533-position model. The record is from RNAcentral.